Molecule: long non-coding RNA, 4271 nt
Filed under: Sus scrofa (pig)
Lineage: Eukaryota; Metazoa; Chordata; Mammalia; Artiodactyla; Suidae
Description: lncRNA (ENSSSCG00025069152.1)
Source: RNAcentral
UCUCAGACUAGGGGUCAAAUUGGAAUUGCAGCUGCUGGCCUACACCAGAGCCAUACAAAUUCAAGAUCCAAGCCCCAUCUUUGACCUGCACCACAGAUCACAGCAACGCUAGAUCCUUAACCCACUGAGUGAGGCCAGGUAUUGAACCUGCGUCUUCAUGGACACUUGUCAGGUUCCUCACCACUGAGCCACGACAGAAACUCCCACCUCUUCCCUUUCCUUGAAGUGAGACUUUUUUUCCUGGAACACUCAGGCUCAGGUGGAACCGCACAGGCACAUAAGGCCAUGGAGACAUCAAGCGUUCCUGCCACGGAGCCAGUAUCAGGGCAAAGCUGAUCUGGUUUUGCCAAAUGUUCCUGGGAAGGCUGCUCUGUUUGGAUGGAUGUAGUCUGUGCUUAUGUUUAUGUUUAUAAUAUACAAAGAAUGUGAAAGUAACAGGGAUUUUUCAGGUUUGGAGGCCCUGUCAUGGCUUCCAUGUCCCAUCUGGCCUGGGCCUGGAAAGCAAUCAGCCCUGAAGAUUCCCUGCUCAGCCAUAACUGGAUGGUCUCUGUGGGUCUGGUUCACUGCAGUCUGUUCACAGUGGUCCACGCAAGGGUAUGGUGAAACACAGUUAUUUUAUUUUUAGUUUUCAUUUCAGAGUUCUCGGAGAGAUAUAUGCAAUAAUCUUUCAUCCAUACAUUAAUAUCUUACCCUUUCUUUACCUGUUGUGAUGUUUUUGGUAUGUGUUUUGAUUCCUCUGGUUAAUCUCUAAAAACAAACUCUUGGAUUUUUAUCUUAUUCCUCAUAAGAGUCCGGUAAAUUUUCUCUCUGGCAAUUUGUACACAGUACUUUUUAAUCUGGCUAAAAUUUCUCUCAUUUGACAUGCAGCUGCCUAUAUCAUCACACCUUAAACACCUUUUACAUUCUUGAAUAAGGUCCUAUUUUAUCAGGCACCCACUGACCUUAAGAAAAUUUAAACAAACAAACAAAAGAUGAAGAGAGUGACCGCAUGAGUGAGAAGGGAAUCCUAUUUAAAUAGUGCAGGCAACCCAUCCCCUGGCACUAUUCCCAGCUUCAGCCCACACAAAGAGCACAUGCUUAAGUGAGCCUCCAUUGGCAGCCUGUGCAGUAAUAUAAUUGGAGUAUUUAAAGACAUAUGUUUUUUAGGCAUUACCUCUAAAUGCAAGCUACGUGUGAGUCUCAACUACAGAAGGAGCAUUCUGUCCUAAAGUUGGAGGAAAAUGGCCUGUGCUGGGUGCUUUAAAGAUAGUCUCCAAAGUGUUGACCUUCUUAACAAUUUGACUGGUGAACAUUUUCACCUUAUAAGCCAACAUUAGAAGUAAAACUUUAUGAAAGCUAUGAAUUACAGUUUUAUGUUCAGCCCUAUCUGCCUGUAGGUUCUUAACUAAUUGCAUCUAUCUUCUGCAGCCCCAACACAAUUCCUUGAACUGAAAGGUAUUGGAGAAACUGUUUUGAAUGAAUGAUAAAGAAAAUAAAUAUCCAAGUAUUUGAAAGUGUGUCUCCAGUCAGAAUGGCCGUCAUUAAUAAGUCCACAGAUAACAAAUGCUGGAGGGGGUGUGGAGAAAAGGGAACCCUUCUGCACUGUUGGCGGGAAUGUAAGCAGGUACAACCACUGUGGAGAACAGUGUGGAGGUAGCUUAGAAAUCUAUAUAUAGAGCUACCAUAUGACCCAGCAAUCCCACUGUUGGGCAUAUAUCCAGACAAAACUUUCCUUUAAAAAAGACACAUGCACCCACAGGUUCAUUGCAGCACUAUUCACAAUAGCCAAGCCAUGGAAACAACCCAAAUGUCCAUCAACAGAGGAUUGAAUUAGGAAGAAGUGGUAUAUGUACACAAUGGAAUACUACUCAGCCAUAAAAAAGAAUAAAAUAAUGCCAUUUGCAGCAACAUGGAUGGAACUAUAGACUCUCAUACUGAGUGAAGUAAGUCAGAAAGAAAAAGACAAAUACCGUACGGUAUCACUUAUAUCUGGAAUCUAAUAUAUGGCACAAAUGAACCUUUCCACAGAAAAGAAAAUCAUGGACUUGGAGAAUAUACUUGUGGUUGCCAAGGGGGAGGGGAAGGGAGUUGGGUGGAUGGGGAGCUUGGGGUUAAUAGAUGCAAACUAUUGCCUUUGGAAUGGAUUGACAAUGAGAUCCUGCUGUAUGGCACUGGGAACUAUGUCAUCACUUAUGAUGGAGCAUGACAAUGUGAGAAAAAAUAAUGUAUACAUGUAUGUGUAACUAGGUCACCAUGCUGUACAGUAGAAAAAAAAUUAUAUUGGGGAAAUAACAAUUAAAAAAUAAAUAAAUGAAGGGAAACAGGAAAAAUUUUAAAAAUUAAUUUUUUUUUAAAAAAAAAGUGUCUCAUUGAUGGCCUCUGUAAUCCAUGUAAUGAAGUGGUCACCAUGUGGCUGAUAAUCAUACUGAUACUAUUUCUAAGAUACUAUUAAAAACAGUGCUUCUCAAAGGGUGGUCACAAAAUCAUCUACUUCAAAAUGAGCCAGAAGUACUUAAAAGUAAAUGCAUGGGCCCACACCUCUUGAUUCAGCAUCUCUGAGAGCAGUUCCUCAUGCUCUCCAGGUGAUCUUGGUGCUCUCUAAAAUUAGAGCACCAAUGCAUUGGUGGUUCUCAGUAGUGUCUGAGCAUUAGAAUCACCUGGGGAGAUUCUGUUAACUAAUAAUACCUCGUUCACCCCAGAAUACUAAAUCAGAAUCUCUGGGCUGGGCCUGGCCAUCAAUGUGUCUUUAAAGCCCCUCAAAGGAUUCUAACAUGCCUUCAGGGCUGAGAACCACCGUGUUAGUCAGGUGCCUCUGUCUCCCACUUUAACCCACUUGCAAUCUGCUGUAUCAGCUACAUUCAGCAAGCAGUGGGCACUAGGAAAGAAAAGCCCAGGAAAACAAAAAAGACAAAUGUCAGAGCCUGGGGAAAGCUAAACACUGGGCAAACUGCCUCACAGCAUGGGCUUCCAGGGCCAUCAGCAUACAGUCAAAAUGACUGGCUCUAACCAAGCCAGUAAGGGAGCAUCAUUAAGAGACUCUUUGCUACUUUAUGUGUUGCCUAUUAAUAAUUAAAUGAAAUACAUGUCACUAUUCCUAGAACUUGCCCAUGCUACACUUCCUUGGAAUUAGGAAAGGAUAAAUUAAUCACCUGUUUUAAAGAAGAGAAUAUUUGACUCUUCUCUGAAAGAAAUAAUACAUAUUUUGCACAAACUGUUUAUUAAAAAACUGUAUCUGUUGUCUUUUAUGAGCCUCCAAAUGACUAUGUGCUAUAAGUAGAGAAAGUACUAUUGUCCUCACUUUAUAUACAGUAAAACCUGGGGGAAAAAGGUUAGGCAGCUUGUCCAAGCUCACUUAGCAAGUGUAAGAACCAGGACAUAACCCAAGUCUUCUGACCCAAAUCUAUUUUUUUUUUCUCAUUCCAUUCAUCAAUACAAUCUUUCCUCUAAAAAAGAAAAAGAGAAAAUGGAUUCACAUUAUAUGGAAUACUUACCUACGUCUCUCUUAUGAUACUUAUUACUUUCUGAUUUAUAUUUUAUAAUUAUUUACAAAAGUAGAUCUCUCUUACUGUUCUACUUAAAGGUGAACAGUAUGUGUUUGAUUCAUCUUUAUAUUGCCCACGAUGUCCAUCUCUGAAAAAUGGUAGGUAAUCAAUAAAUAUUUCUUGGAUAAUUGGAUGAAAAUAAUAUAUAUUUGAAUUUUCAAAGUGUAAAACCUUCAACAUGAGAGCAUAAUCUUACUAAUCACCAUUAUGAAGAUGAAUGGUAUAAGAUUACACUAAUGGAUAAAACAGAAAAUAGAAAAAGACAGUACUCAGAGCAGAUGAGAAGGUGCAAGAGAAGCUACAAUAAAGGUGGGAGCUGUUACUCCACAAAAAGACCCCUAGAUUUGGGGACCUGGAAGGGAGCAGACACUGACAUAGCUGACUGAAGCAUGUGGGGGCUGGCUUUUGAGUGGUACAUAAUGAAGAAGGCUUAUGUCUCUGAUGUCAACAAGAAAAAUUAAAGGAAAGUAGAAAUUCCAGGAAAAAUAAAAUGCUAUACAAAAAUUCAUGGCAAAAAUAUGAAGCAUGAUUAUAAUAAAUUUAUGGAGAGUUCCCGUCAUGGCUCAGUGGUUAACGAAUCCAACUAGGAACCAUGAGGUUGCGGGUUCGAUCCCUGGCCUUGUUCAGUGGGUUAAAGAUCUGGUGUUCCUGUGAGCUGUGGUGUAGGUUGCAGACGUGGCUCGGAUCCCACAUUGCUGUGGCUCUGGCGUAGGCCCGAGGCUACAGCUCCGAUUCGACCCCUAGCCUGGG